GGUUGGGCGCAAGCUUCAAGGAUCAUGUUCUUCAAGGGGUGAGAAGAA
Molecule: non-coding RNA, 48 nt
Organism: Enterococcus faecalis 13-SD-W-01
Lineage: Bacteria; Bacillati; Bacillota; Bacilli; Lactobacillales; Enterococcaceae
Source: Rfam